UACUGCUAUCAGUGUUCGAUUAAGCCAUGCGAGUUAAAUGUUCUUCGUGAACAUGGCGUACUGCUCAGUAACACGUGGAUAACCUGCCCUAAGGUCCGGCAUAACCCCGGGAAACUGGGGAUAAUACCGGAUAAACCAUAGAUACUGGAAUGUUCUGUGGUUAAAAGCUCCGGCGCCUUAGGAUGGAUCUGCGGCCUAUCAGGUAGUAGUGGGUGUAAAGUACCUACUAGCCGACGACGGGUACGGGUUGUGAGAGCAAGAGCCCGGAGAUGGAUUCUGAGACAUGAAUCCAGGCCCUACGGGGCGCAGCAGGCGCGAAAUCUUUACAAUGCGGGAAACCGCGAUAAGGGGACACCGAGUGCCAGCAUAUUAUGUUGGCUGUCCACCUGUAUAAAUCACAGGUGUUAGCAAGGGCCGGGCAAGACCGGUGCCAGCCGCCGCGGUAACACCGGCGGCCCGAGUGGUAGCCACUAUUAUUGGGUCUAAAGGGUCCGUAGCCGGUUUGAUCAGUCUUCCGGGAAAUCUGACAGCUCAACUGUUAGG
Molecule: ribosomal RNA, 543 nt
Filed under: uncultured archaeon
Lineage: Archaea
Description: bacterial SSU rRNA
Rfam family: Archaeal small subunit ribosomal RNA
Source: RNAcentral